Zonotrichia leucophrys gambelii is the source of this 948-nucleotide long non-coding RNA. RefSeq lists it as uncharacterized. The record is from RefSeq and is a predicted model, not a curated record. The transcript has 5 exons. NCBI's taxonomy places the organism in Eukaryota, Metazoa, Chordata, Aves, Passeriformes, Passerellidae.
CUUGGCAGUGCUGUGGUGAGGAGGAAGGAGCCAGCUGGGUGUGAGGAGCUACCCAUAAGACUUCACAAAGAAGCUGCAGGCUCUAAUAGGCAACUUCUGCUUCUUCAAGCUCAUCUUCAGUUGCCUUCCCUGCUGCUGGUGGAAAGAGGAGGUGAAUGGCUGGACACAGCAACCAUCAGUGACAGAGGAUUUAGCAGAAGACCUCAGACAGCCAACAAACACCUGGUGAAGAAAGCAAUAGAAAAACAGAGCUUUAGCCCCAAACUCUAGGUUUGGCCUGAUGGCACUUCACUGGGGCUCAUUGAUGUUGGUGAUGACAAGAUCUGGUCCUUGCCUAUGAAGUAGCUGUAUCCUCAUCCUGUGCUGACUGAAGGACCCAGCAAGCUGCUCCUGGAUGCAGUGGAAGGUUGGAUUGCUUCAGCAGCCCUGAACUGCCUCAGCUCCCCAGCAUGGUGAUGCUUGGAAGGAAAUCCUACAACCUUGAGCACACACCCAGCUUCUCCCAGUCACGCUGUCCUGCAUAAAGGGCUCCAGUUUGAAUGAAUCAGUCCCAAUCUGCAGGAGGAUUCUUGACAUUUCAGUUCACAGAAGUUUCUGAUUGUCUUUGGUGCUGGAAUAUAGAACAUUUUCCGAGUCUUAAAUGCAAUAUGAUUGGAAAACACUUUUCCACUCAGCCCUGGUAAAACCUCCAAGGAAGGGGGUGAAGACACAGGCUCCCUGCCAGAGAACAUGAGCUUUGCUAGACCAGCAUCUCCAUAUUCUUUCUCUUAGAAAAUGCUUUUUCCUCCACUCCAAAUAGUGGAGGGCUGGAGGGAAGAGCAGGAGACACAAUGACACUGUUCCAUGCUGGCUGGAAACCCUGUGGUGCCUCUGGGGCACAGAAGGUCUGAAUUUAAAUCUUCCUCUGGUUUGGAUCUGCUUCAAACAAAUACCUGAAAGCACUGCCCU